Engraulis encrasicolus (European anchovy) is the source of this 1084-nucleotide long non-coding RNA. RefSeq lists it as uncharacterized. The transcript is spliced from 14 exons. Lineage: Eukaryota; Metazoa; Chordata; Actinopteri; Clupeiformes; Engraulidae. The record is from RefSeq and is a predicted model, not a curated record.
AGAUUGUAACUUGAAAUAGAUAUGUUGAGCACGUGUGAAAGUCUUUCCAUGCUAUGCUCUCCGUUGGGUUGCACGCACGCCUCUCGCCUUGCAGAAUCAUUUCGUUGUAACGUCUCGGUGUCUGAAAUGGAGUUACGGUGUUCCUGGAUUCUUAGUUGUGAGAUUGUCUUCUGUGGACGGGCUGCGGUCUGCACAGGACGCCUCUGUGCCUUGUGGGGAAACAAGCCUGUGGAGAAAGGCUACUGGUGAAGGACAAUGGAUGCCUGGAAGCCUGGAAGUGUAGGAUGAGUGAAGUCAUGCGUUGACUCCCAAAAUGGAUCAUCCCAUGCUACCAGACAGAGGCCAUGGGAGAGGAUUGAUGAGAUGUUGCUGACACUGCUGUACCAGAAGUUAAGAUGCUGCUGAAAUGGUUGAUAAGAAGCGUGUGGGUGGCCUCUGUCCAACUGAGGUGAAGAGAUGCAGUUGGACCAGCUCUGCUUCAGCCAAAUGGAAGAGCAGACUCCAUCUAAGACAAGAUGUUGCUGACACUGCUGUACCAUCGUGAAGAUGCUGCUGAAAUGGUUCAUAUGCUCAGUGUCCCUUGGUUCUAAAGAAAGUACAGAUGAUGAAGGGGUAGCUUGAGGCAUACAGGCAACCAUUGGCCAUGUGGAAGGCAAAGCCACGGCUGGGAUUAAUAUUGUCAUCUGUGGACGGGCUGCAGUCUGCACAAGACGCCUCAGUACCUUGUGGGCAGAACUGCAUGUGGAAAAAUGCUAAUGUAAAUGUCGUCAUCUCUGAUCAAGGUUCAGACUGCACGGAAUGCCUCUUGUCUGAUGCCCCCGUUUCAACUGUGGAUGGAGAAAGUGGAUUGUGUUGGAAACCCUGCUUCAGCAAGUUGCAGCAUUUCUGUGACUAGUGGAUGAGCAGUGUGGAAACGAUAGCAACUUGCAUGGUGGAAUAGGAGUGGCUUUUCCUGGUGCAAUUCAUCUAAAGUCUAAGGCUUCUGCAGUUCAUAAAGUUGAACCAUGGGAAAACAAGAAGCUACUUUGAAGUUGUGCUUUUUUCCUCUACAAUAAAAAUGAUUCUUAUUGAGUGGAAAUGACAA